Molecule: ribosomal RNA, 324 nt
Filed under: Triticum aestivum (bread wheat)
Lineage: Eukaryota; Viridiplantae; Streptophyta; Magnoliopsida; Poales; Poaceae
Description: partial small subunit ribosomal RNA
Source: RNAcentral
UUUUCAGAUGUAUGGGGUCCUGCUCAGACUUCUGUCAGUGGUCAUAAUUACUAUAUCAGUUUCGUUGAUGCUUAUAGUCGCUUUACCUGGUUUUACCUUAUUAAACGCAAAUCUGAUGUGUUUGAUAUUUUUGUUCAGUUUCAAAAACAUGUUGAACGUCUUCUCAAGCACAAAAUUGUUCAUGUCCAGUCGGACUGGGGGGGCGAGUAUCGCAACCUCAACUCCUUCUUUCAGUCGCUUGGGAUAGCUCAUCGUUUAGCAUGUCCACAUACACAUCAGCAGAAUGGUUCAGUCGAACGUAAGCAUCGUCAUAUUGUUGAAGCU